GAUGAACGCUGGCGGCGUGCUUAACACAUGCAAGUCGAACGGAAAGGCUCCUGCUUGCAGGGGUACUCGAGUGGCGAACGGGUGAGUAACACGUGGGUGAUCUGCCCUGCACUUCGGGAUAAGCCUGGGAAACUGGGUCUAAUACCGGAUAGGACGAUGGCUUGGAUGCCAUUGUGGAAAGUUUUUCGGUGUGGGAUGAGCUCGCGGCCUAUCAGCUUGUUGGUGGGGUAUUGGCCUACCAAGGCGUCGACGGGUAACCGGCCUGAGAGGGUGUACGGCCACAUUGGGACUGAGAUACGGCCCAGACUCCUACGGGAGGCAGCAGUGGGGAAUAUUGCACAAUGGGCGCAAGCCUGAUGCAGCGACGCCGCGUGGGGGAUGACGGCCUUCGGGUUGUAAACUCCUUUCGCUAGGGACGAAGCGCAAGUGACGGUACCUGGAGAAGAAGCACCGGCUAACUACGUG
Molecule: ribosomal RNA, 465 nt
Filed under: uncultured bacterium
Lineage: Bacteria
Description: partial 16S ribosomal RNA
Rfam family: Bacterial small subunit ribosomal RNA
Source: RNAcentral